RNAcentral lists this ribosomal RNA (568 nucleotides) under Simocephalus vetulus. Its description in RNAcentral is "SSU rRNA". It matches the Rfam family "Eukaryotic small subunit ribosomal RNA", at positions 1219 to 1570 of the family's 1831-position model. Lineage: Eukaryota; Metazoa; Arthropoda; Branchiopoda; Diplostraca; Daphniidae. The record is from RNAcentral.
CAGGCCCGGACACUGGAAGGAUUGACAGAUUGAGAGCUCUUUCUUGAUUCGGUGGGUGGUGGUGCAUGGCCGUUCUUAGUUGGUGGAGCGAUUUGUCUGGUUAAUUCCGAUAACGAACGAGACUCUAGCCUGCUAAAUAGGUGACGGGUUUUAUCAAUUGAAACCGAAGGGGGUACGGAGGCGUCGGGAUCAGGUGGCGGCGGUUUCGGGUGGAGUGGAGGGGGCCGUUUUAGCGUGUCGCGUUGCUGGUCGUUCGUGUCUGUGCGCUGUGGCGUGUCGUUUCGGCGGCGCGUUGCGGUGUCGGGCGUGGGCGGCUGGUGGCGCGGCGCGCGGGCGGUUCUUUUUCCCUUCUCUCGGUCGUCGUCAUCCCCGGCGAUUUCUCCUGCUCUCGCGUCCGUCACGUGUCUUCUUAGAGGGACAAGCGGCGUCCAGCCGCGUGACAGUGAGCAAUAACAGGUCUGUGAUGCCCUUAGAUGUCCUGGGCCGCACGCGCGCUACACUGAAGGAAUCAGCGUGUUUCACUCUCCCUGUCCGAAAGGACCGGGUAACCGCUGAACCUCCUUCGUGG